Triticum urartu is the source of this 1263-nucleotide long non-coding RNA. RefSeq lists it as uncharacterized. The record is from RefSeq and is a predicted model, not a curated record. NCBI's taxonomy places the organism in Eukaryota, Viridiplantae, Streptophyta, Magnoliopsida, Poales, Poaceae.
GUUUUCACCCCCAAAGGAACCCAUAGCCUCACAUCCACUCGCGUUAACCCAAUCCACUCUGCCCCUGCCCCCAACUUCCGCCGCGGCCGUUCUCGGGGUCUCCGUCCUCGGACCCGUCCCUGCCGCCACCGGCGGCCAUAGCCCCGAGCUCCCCGCCCCCUCCAUCGCCUACCUUCCUUGGUCCCUUCGCUGCCCAAGUCCCCACCGCCGGCGGUGAGCAUAACCCAGAUCCCAUAACCACAUCGAUGCAUGCCUUCCCUAGUGACGCGACCACUGACAGCCCCGUCCACCGGGGCCUUCACCGACCACCGCUAGCCCUCUCGAAGGACCAAGACAGCGCCCUCCACUUCCUCCUCUCAGGGAAAGAUCCUUCCUAUUCUUCCUCUCUGGAAGGACCAAGACAUCGCCCUCCUCUUCUUCCUCUCAGGGAAAGAUUCCAUAUGUGCUUGUGCUAGAGGCAUGCCGCUGGCACCGUUGGGCCCUCAUUUAUGUUAUACAAGCCAUUUGAGGAUAUGACGUGAUGAGCUAUUUUUUAGUCAACGCGUGGCGAGUCCACUUGGAACUGAAUAGGCACUGGUUCUUCUUCUUACUCUCCAUGAGCCCCUUAUACUACUGCUAUGGUUUAUGUGCCUACUUUUAACUCUCUCGUCUGAAAUUGGGCUGCUCUGUUUCAGCUGAUCUGAUAGUGUGGGUGGGAUAUACAGAACAACCUUGAGAUGUGUCUGCGACCAAUCCACAUUCGGCACAACUCCCACAACUUGAACACCAAGCUCUUUGCCAUUUAAAUGGUUGAGAGAAUAAACUGGAUGGAUGACCAAUCCGAGAAGGGCAUUGAACAAAGUGUAGGUAUCAUGGUCAGUUAUCUCUAAGGUCUUUGUUGGCACGGCUGCACCUCUUUGGUUACCUGGCAUGGCAAUGCAACAUAAGUCUACAUGGUACUUAGCCAACUGGUGCACAUGGACGUGAUGACUUUGCAGCGUUUAUGGACCAACCAACUUGUAAUCAUGGAUCUUAUGUGUUGUAGACCAUUUGGUGAUUUGGUUAUUUUGGAGCUUGCAUUUUGUGCAUGUGGAUACAGACUUGUGUGUUCUGGAUCAUCUAGUUGAAGUUUCUCAUACCGGCAAAUAGUGCUAUCUUUUUGUGACUUGUGUGUUCUGGGUGAUUAUUAAGAUGGUAAAAACUAUGCUUUGUCAAGAUUGAUGUGUUUGUCAACUUGUGUUCAAUGUAUAUGCACGUUUGUGAAUAUAUUUCAUUGUUGUACAA